Molecule: long non-coding RNA, 1326 nt
Organism: Nannospalax galili (Upper Galilee mountains blind mole rat)
Lineage: Eukaryota; Metazoa; Chordata; Mammalia; Rodentia; Spalacidae
Exons: 5
Source: RefSeq, a predicted model, not a curated record
CGCAUGCCUGCUUCCGCUCGGCCCGGCCCGCCGCACCGCUCUGUCCCGGCUGAGAGCUGGUCCCCGCCGCACCGAAUCACUCUCCCAUUCUGUCCGGUCGCUCUUGGGGCUGCUGCCGCGGACUCCGGCGGCGCAGGGUACAAGAAAUGUUAAGACAUAAAGGCCACUGUAUAAAUCAAGAAAGAAAGUAAAUCUUCACAGAAAAUCAUAGGAAAGAUGAAAACUAGGACCAAACUUCAGGUAUUCUUAGGAAUUUUGUUUUCUCGGAGAACUGAACAUUGUGUGUUGCUUUCCCAUUGGAAACACAUGAGCUAAGCUAAUAAAGGCUUGAAUAUCUUGCGUAGAUUUCUUCACUGGAACAUUUUCUUCAGCUUCCUCUUCACCAAAAUCCUCGUUUUGAGGCUGGGGAUGUUGUUUGGAUGGCCAAGUGCUUGAAUGUUUUCACUGUACAAAGGAGAGAAACAAAGGUACUGACUGAGUGGUUAAAGCACGUGGUGCAAGCCUGAGGACCGAUGUUCAGAUCCCCAAACCCGUAUGAAAGCCAAGUGGAUAUGACAGCACAUCUCCAAUUCCAGCACUUGGAAGAUGGAGACAGGAUUCCAGACGCAUGGUCGCCAGACCAGACCUAUCGGCAAGCUCUGAGUUCAGUUGAGAGUCCCUUUCUCAACACAUAAGAUGGAGAGCCAUUGAAGAGGACUCCCCAUAUCAACCUUGGGCCUCUACAGGCAUGUGCACACACACACUCAUGCACUACACACUCACAUGUGUCAUGAACACACACAUGAAAAAGAAAAGAAAAACCAUAAGUAUGUCUAUUAAACUUGUGAAUUACAGCACAGAAAAGAAAAAAUUAAAAAUUUCUUUUCAGAAACCAGAAAGCCUACAAAAGGACACACGUUGGUCCAGUGGCUAUCCAAACAAAUAUGGAGAAAUUCGUGAAAACCACUUCCAAUAUUGUAUUGCUCUAACCCAAAAUUCUUGAGGAAAAAUAAAACGCCCAAAAUGACCGUUCUAUGUAAACUGAAUAAAAAUAAGGCAUAAUUUUGGGUAAAAAUCCUUUGAGUCAGAUGGAAUUAGUUCAACUACUAAAAACAAAUCUGGUCCUGAAUUAGUAAACAGAUGAUUCACAAAUGCUACUUGUGUGAAACUGAUGUAGAACACCAAUCACCUACUUUAGGUAUCCUGAGUUUUCUGGAAAUCAUUUUUUUGCCUUUUAAAAAUAUUUUGUUUAUUAUUUUUAUUUUAUAUGCAUGACUAUAUUGCCUCCAUGUAUAUAAGUAAACCUGUGUUGUGCAAUAUCAUCGGAGGUCAGAAGAGUGUGUCAGA